AGAGAGAGAGAGAGUUAUCCUUCUAUUAGAGGGAAGAAGAAGGGAUAAAAUUAUCCUUUUUAGAGAGAAAAAGAAGAUGAAAAAGAUUCAGGGCUCCACAUCUUAAGCUUUUUCUUUGUUGAGAGAUAAAGAGAGAACCUUUUCUCUUAGAGUGAGGAAGCCUCUAGGGAAAAAAAAAGAAGUCUUUGAGAGAGAGAAGAACCUCAGAGACGGAAAACAUAAAAAGAAAAAAUCUCUAGAAGAAAUCAGUGAUCUCAAGAAAAUCUAUUUCUUAAAAGACUAUUGUAAUCGUUAAGUUAGUAGUGGAUUCGUCUCUUUCUCCUAUAUAUGUAUUCUAAAAAUGUGAACCACCAUCCGCAGUUAUGCAAGAUGGCUCUAAUUGGGUAACCCAACACUAUGUACUAAAUUUCUAUAUAUAUAUUAUGUAUCCCCAUCUAUAAUUACAUGGGUCUGAUUUACUGUCUCACAUCCACGGUGCGAAGACACCAGAAAUGAUCCCAUUUUUUAUUAAAAGCUAAGGUUCACAAAAUGUGGUGCAAUGGGCAAGAUUUGAUACCUCAACCUUUUUAAGAGGCUCAUAUCGUUUUAUCAAUAUGCUACUUGAGUACUCGUGUUAAAAAUAUGCAUCUUAUUAUAUGUGCCUUCUUCCUUUUGUUAUUCCUUUUCCUUUUUUAACAUGACAUGAAGUCGGCCGAGUUAGUCGGACUCGGCCAAAUAAUGCACUUUGGCCAAGGUCUGAGUACAUUGGCCAAGUCGAUUGUCUAUGCACUGCACCUCUGUUUUUAGAGAACAUGAACAAGAUUGAUGUCUCUAACAUUAAACCAGGUUCCCUCAUUUAUGUGAUGUUAGGGAUUUUGAUCCGCCCAUUUCUCAUUCCUGUUUUUUAUGCAAAGCUCCCUCUCUCCCCAAGCCCAUCUCUCUCUCUCGAAACCUUAUUUGGUCUAAGAAAAGGGCAACAGAGACGAAACUUGACUCUAUUAUUUCUCAAGUUGGAUUUGUUAUCUACAAAAAUUCGUUAACUUCAUUUGCUUUAGUGAUUUUCUCUGCUGAUUUGGAGUUUUUAGUACAUUUCUCACAUAUCUAAUACUUUAUGAGAUUUUUGUGUUUUCUCCUUGAUUUUUAGCGUUUUGAUGCUAAAAGUCUCAUUCAUAUGUAUUGCUUUGUGACUUCGUUGUGCUACAUUCAUGUGUUGUUGAUUCAUCCUCGUAUGUUAAAGAUUAAGUGUGAAUGCUAGCGCACACUUCAUAGUAUAUUCUUUAUAAAGUAUUCAAGACCAUUUAGAUUAAGGGGGAAGGCAUCUCAAUACAUUGGAUGUGAAAUUGGACAGGUUGUGUACGAAUUGAGAGAAAAUGCUUCCUUGGAGUUUUUUGAAAAUUCAAAUAGUGGGAUUUCACAUACAAGGGCUCAUGAUAUUUUUUAUCUUUUUGAAUCAAAUGUAAAUGGUCUUAUUGUACAUACCAUAAAAAUCCAAUAUUAUUUGUUUUCAUGAUGGGCAUUUUAUUCAUUGUAAAAUAGCAAGGUUAAGUGGUAUUUUUGAAACUUUUCCUACUAAGGCAGUGAGAAAAUGAGUAAGAGCCUGACAUUAACCACCAUUGUAGUUCUUACAACAAUCUUGAACUAUCUCAUGAAUCCUCUUUGAACUAUCUCACAUAUUCUUCAACAAAUUCACCUAAGCUAACAUUCAUUGAUAAAAAAAGGGGAAAAAAAAAUAAGGAAAAAGAAAACUGCACAACUUGAACCAUCUCAAAGGGACUUACAGUUAAAAAUCACCCAUCUUCUUAUUGUGUUCAUCAUAGAAUGACAAGAUUAUUGAAUUUCUUGUAGUACUUGACACAAAUUUUGGUGAGCCUGGCUAGCGACAAGGUAAUCGAGGAAAACAAAGAAGAGGACCUGCACUGGUCGUGAGAGACGGCACCAACAUGCCAUGGGCAGCUGUGAAUGUCUGUGAACGCCCAUAACCUGGUGCAAUGCUUCCCCAUCCUGACUGCACAAAAUAUGCACCAUUCAUGAAUACAUCGUUAUAAGACCUCCAUUUCCAACUCUUCCAACCACUGCUUUCUCUCUUGGUCACCUACAAAAGAGGAUUGUUAAUAACCAAAAACAUUUUUGGGUGAUAACAAUCAUCUAAUAUUUUUGAUUGAUUGAUUAUCUUUUGAUUAGUUUUUCCUUUUCAAAUAAAGAAAUUUGUAUACUUAACUUUUCAACAGUUUAACAAUUUAUCCUUUUUCAACUAUUCCAACCCACGAUCAUGUCUAUUUUGAUAGAAAACACAUGAUUCUAAUACUAAAUAGUAGAUUUCUUUUGAUAAAUUUUCUUUUCAAAUAGCUGAUAUCAUUAACUCUUUUAGGCCAUUCAUCUUUAGGAAACAGGUUUUACUUCACCGAGAGCACUUUUUUUGUUUUUUUAUAUAAAUAUCACCACUGGAAAAUGAUUGUGUUCCAUAAUAAGUCAAAGGGACUCAUGCUAGCCCUAAAGGCGCCAGAGGUCAUUCUCACCCAAGUAAAUUGUCUUACGAAUUCCGAAAAAAAUUUUUCCAUCGCCAGGAGAAUGAUACCAAUUCGAGGAAAUUGGUAAUUAGUGUUAGCAGCUGGGAAAGCCUUGUCCUAGACUUUCCUCUAUGUCCAAUACCAUUAACUCUUUUAUGCAAAUCAUCUUUAAGAGGGAGGUUUUUCCAUCACCAAGAGCACUCUUUUUUUCUUCCCCUUCCAUCACCAAGACUGCACUGCCCUAGUGUAACAGCUGGAAAAGCACUAUCCUAGUCUUUCCCGACUCAAUAUAUUUUUGGCGGAAAGCUGAUUCAUAUCUUUUUUGAUGUAAAAGCACUUUCCCAAGCUAAUGAGAAAGCUCUUUUCAAGAAGGACUUCUCCGAAGGCCAUGAAAAGCACUCCAAAAAAAUAAACAUGCCUUAAAUGUUUUCAACAAAUUUUUUUUUUUUUUUUAAUAUUUGAGAAUGAAGUGUAGUUAGCAAGUUGGGACACUGAUGAACCAAAACAUCGGCUACAAAUCGAUUUUAUUUUAAAAAGUCGUAGUGAAAGAUCGGGUAAAAACUACGGAUCGCCAAAAUAUAAGGUAAGCUAUAGAAUCAUGAAUAUUUUGGAUUUGGUUCAAAAAAAUGUAGUGAAAAAAAUCGGAUAUGUAAAGAUGAUACAAUGUAGGAUUAUGAUUUGUAGCUAUUGUAUAGAUAUCCUAAAACCACUAAACAAUACUUUUAUAGCCUUACUAGUGCCAUUAGAAUGAUACUUAACAAGUUUUGUUAAAACUUUAAAUAAAUCUAACAACAAUGCUUACUUUGUUUUCACAUCACAAAACAUAUCGUAGAUUUAUUGCGAGCACAAAAUGAAAUAACAACAACAAUAUUAAACACAAGACCUAAUUAGUAAAUAACAAGAAUUGUGAACUAAAAGUAUAGGAUUAUUUCUCAAAAAAAAUAUACAUAUAAAAAAAGCCUUCAAAUUAGGAUUGCAGCUAAUUAAAAAAAACACGCAAAGACCCAAUAUGUAAAAUAGUGAUCCAUCUAAAUGCUAUGUUGUAUACACCAAUUAAAUACAAAAAUAAAAAUAAAAAUAUAAAGUUAAUCAAACUUCUUUGUGCAUAAAAGACAACAAAAUGCUCAAAAACAUUUGAAUCUCGCACUGAGUAGCUACCUAGAUCUUUAAUAUCAUUAAAUCUCUCUCUUUCUCUUGACAAGGACGCUAUUGGUUUAAGAACAAAAAAUAGAUUUUUCAUUAGGUUGCUCUUCUUCUGAUUCUGCCUAUUAUUUUAAGAUAUAUGAUUGUUUUAAUUACUUGUUUUUGAGAAAUAUAUUGCUUGUAUUUUUUCAUACACUUGUUUUUAGUUAACUCAUUGGUGAAAUUUUUUAUGGAAUUUUUUGUUAAAUAAAAAAUAUUAAUUUACACCUAUUGUUAAAGUAUUUAUCUUUAAAUCAAAUUUCAAUAAUAUUAAGUUGGUGAUGAAAUAAAGCAAUGGAGAAAAAGUUAUUUUGUAAAGCUUUUUUGAAAAAAGAUAAAAUAUGGAUUUAAAUUGGUUUCAUUAAAAAAUCGUGAUUUUUUGAAGAUCUUUUGAAAAAAUUGGAGUUCUAAAUGUACUUAAGAAAAAUAAAAGAUUUUUUGAAAAAAUCAUGUUUCAAUCGGAGACUUGCUAAGUAUGUAUGGUUAAGACAACCGCCGCUAUAAGGUGUUAAUGCAUGCCAUACCAUUCCUUAUUGAUGUCUCAUUUGCAACUUACUUGUUUGAGGUCAACAUUGUUGGGAGCAAUGAAGUAAUUCCCCUCGCUUAGAAUGGUAGGGUUUGCACUCCCUCCAAUUGCGUACAUCUCCCAUGUUUCAUACAUGUUGUUUGCAACAUGCACGUAACCAAGUCUCACCCUGCAACCCACCACCAAUCAUCCUUUAAUAUUCAUAUUCAUUCAAGCAAAAAUUACUGGAAUCUUUAAAAUAAUGAAGUGUAAAGAAGAAGAAGAAUCAUUAAAAUAAUGAAGUGUAAAGAAGAAGAAGAAUCAUUAAAAUAAUGAAGUGUAAAGAAGAAUCUUUAAAAUAAUGAAGUGUAAAAUAGGAGGAGGAGAAGGAGGAGAGAAGGAGAAGGAGAAGGAGGAGGAGGAGGAGCGAUCUUAUGUGCCUAAAAGAAAUAAUAUCCCAAGAUUUAGCUAGGAUUGAAAGAUCUAAGUGUUGAAGAACUCAAAUCCAAAUGGUUUUCAAAAAAGUCAAUUAUAUAGUGACUCUCUAGUGGUUCAUAAAUUUUUAGAUAGAAAAAAUUCCUCCCAAGUUGCACUUUUCACGAAGGAGUAAAUGUGCAGCAUACUCCUACAACAGCAUACCAUAACAUGAAUCCUCUCCACUUUUGCACUAUCAAAUGGUCUUCGCUCCCUUUCGUGAACAUUGCGAAAUUCCGUUUCAGCAUAACAUCGACCAUUGGUUGCCCCGAAAAGAUUAUGUAGAACACUUCGGAUUGCAUUCCUAAUCCCAUUCAAAAACGUGCGUUAUCAAUUGACUGUUGUUGUUAUUGCUAGCGAAUGUUAUCAAAUUCGACCAACAAUUGAGCAUGUUUGGGUCUAGUGAAUAUUGGUCUGAUUAUAAUUCUAAUCAGUUGGGCAGAUUUUAAAAAUAUAAUAUAUAUAUAUAUAUAUAUAUAUAUAUAUAUAGUUNNNNNNNNNNNNNNNNNNNNNNNNNNNNNNNNNNNNNNNNNNNNNNNNNNNNNNNNNNNNNNNNNNNNNNNNNNNNNNNNNNNNNNNNNNNNNNNNNNNNNNNNNNNNNNNNNNNNNNNNNNNNNNNNNNNNNNNNNNNNNNNNNNNNNNNNNNNNNNNNNNNNNNNNNNNNNNNNNNNNNNNNNNNNNNNNNNNNNNNNNNNNNNNNNNNNNNNNNNNNNNNNNNNNNNNNNNNNNNNNNNNNNNNNNNNNNNNNNNNNNNNNNNNNNNNNNNNNNNNNNNNNNNNNNNNNNNNNNNNNNNNNNNNNNNNNNNNNNNNNNNNNNNNNNNNNNNNNNNNNNNNNNNNNNNNNNNNNNNNNNNNNNNNNNNNNNNNNNNNNNNNNNNNNNNNNNNNNNNNNNNNNNNNNNNNNNNNNNNNNNNNNNNNNNNNNNNNNNNNNNNNNNNNNNNNNNNNNNNNNNNNNNNNNNNNNNNNNNNNNNNNNNNNNNNNNNNNNNNNNNNNNNNNNNNNNNNNNNNNNNNNNNNNNNNNNNNNNNNNNNNNNNNNNNNNNNNNNNNNNNNNNNNNNNNNNNNNNNNNNNNNNNNNNNNNNNNNNNNNNNNNNNNNNNNNNNNNNNNNNNNNNNNNNNNNNNNNNNNNNNNNNNNNNNNNNNNNNNNNNNNNNNNNNNNNNNNNNNNNNNNNNNNNNNNNNNNNNNNNNNNNNNNNNNNNNNNNNNNNNNNNNNNNNNNNNNNNNNNNNNNNNNNNNNNNNNNNNNNNNNNNNNNNNNNNNNNNNNNNNNNNNNNNNNNNNNNNNNNNNNNNNNNNNNNNNNNNNNNNNNNNNNNNNNNNNNNNNNNNNNNNNNNNNNNNNNNNNNNNNNNNNNNNNNNNNNNNNNNNNNNNNNNNNNNNNNNNNNNNNNNNNNNNNNNNNNNNNNNNNNNNNNNNNNNNNNNNNNNNNNNNNNNNNNNNNNNNNNNNNNNNNNNNNNNNNNNNNNNNNNNNNNNNNNNNNNNNNNNNNNNNNNNNNNNNNNNNNNNNNNNNNNNNNNNNNNNNNNNNNNNNNNNNNNNNNNNNNNNNNNNAAUCACACCCGACUAUUGGAUGUGGAAUUGGAUGGCCAUAGAUGUGCCAUCGGUUUCAAAUUCUCAAAAAGGAUUUAUAAGACCUAUGUAAUACACCCCCAACGAUAAUGUUUUACAUAUGACGGCUAGGGGUGAUUUUAACAUUGUAAGAAAGGUAAGUGUUCUUACAGUACUUAGUCCCCUAAAAAUUUUAAAAAAUAAGAAUAAUAAUUUAAAAUAGGGUGUGGUUUCUAUAAGGUUGCAAUCUUAAACAAUGCAAUUCAGGAGCACCUCUAAAUUUUAUCAUAACAUGUAAUUUUGGUAAAACAACUCUUAAUAUCAUCUCAAAAUCUAUUUUCAUAUCUAAUUCUAAAAUUUUAAACUCCAAAAAUGGUUAAAAUCAAGUAGACCUAUAAACAUAUGAAAAUAUUGAAAAUGGACAGUCUCGAUGCACUAUUCUUAAGGCUCAAAAUUGUUUUUUUUUUUUUUCAUAUUUAUACAUCUCGAUGUCGAGAUGAUCAAUUAGAAGUUUUUCCAACAUUAAAACAACCUUUUUUGAGGGAUUUUUGAGGUGCAUCUGUAAUUCUACAUUUAAGGUUGCAACCUUAUUUAAACUUUCCCCUUUAAAAUGUUGAAUAUAUCAAUAAGAUAAAUAAUUUUGUUUAGCCGGUCUAACUGAUCGGUUCGAUGAGCUAAAAUUAAUUAAAUUUUAAUUUUAACUAGUUAAUGACUGAACUCAAUUCUUAUCAUGGACCAAAGUGGGCCAGGAACAAAUUGGCUGUUUGGGCAAUGAACAAAUUGGUUGUUUGACCGGGCAAAUUGCGUGUCCAAUCUUUAUAACUAUGCUGCAAACCAUAUUUGUCAAAAAAAAAAAAAAAAAAAACUAUGUUGCAAACCAUUAAAGAGAGAACUGUGAGCAACCUUUUUGUACGUACUUUUAAUAUGAAUGGAUGAUGUCAAUAUUCUUUUUUUAUGAGGUAAAGACCCCAUGCAUCAUAAUGUUUGAGCUUAAGGCAUAUUCACAAGGCAUUCGCCCCUCAACAAAGUUAACAAUUACCUGGGCAUCCUUUGCACCAAAUUAGCGCCCAAGCGAUUGAAUACGACCGUUACUUUCAUCUAUUUAUCGGCCUUGAAAGAAUCAUCAUGACCGAAUAGCAUCACCUGCAAAAAUCACGACUCACGCAAUUAAGAUUUUUCACAAUAUGCUGAAAUAUUCGACCAUGUACUGAGUGCCCAAGUAGCUAAUAAAUCCAUAUUAUUCUUAAAUGAGCAAAUUUUCUAUGCAGCCAGCCCGCAUAUUGUAGAAAUGCGGGUUUGGCAAUAAAUAUAUUUUUAAGUAUAAUUUAAUCCUAAUUUUUAGAGAAUCUAUAAUUUUUUAGAGAUCAUGAAUAUGAUUUUUUUUUUCAAAAACUAGAAUUAAUAAUUAUAUUAAGAAGAAAAUUUGACCGUUAGUUACACUUGAUUUUAGAUGGACCACCUAUUUGCAUCCAUCUUUAAGAUGGAUGCUUUAGACCUUUGGACCACAUAUUGGAGAACUGUUGUCCAACCCGCGUAAAAACAUUUUCCUUUAAGAAUACAAAGUAGUUGCCUCACUGGCAAAAAUAAAAAAAAUGGUUUUCUUGGUCUCUUGCAUGAUUAAUAAAGAGAGUCAAAAUAAUUCACUGUAUUUUUACGGUUGGCAAUGGGCUAGGUGGCAAGCCUCAGAGAAGCCUGGCCCUAAAAAAUUAGGGACUGGGCCCCAAAAUAUCGCUUGAGAGCCAGGUUGAGCUUGGACUAGGCCAGGGCUAAGAUGAGACUUGCUCUGUUUAGCCUAGCCCGGCCCUUUAUCUUUAAAUUUUCUUGUUUAUUUUCAUUUUCCAUUUGGCCUGGCCUGGAUAAGGUUUUGGCCAAGCCUUGGCCAGGAACUUUUUGGUAAUGUUAGGGCCGGGUGGCUAGGCUUGGUGUCAACCUGGUCCUAAAACAUUAGGGACUGAGCUAGGGCCAAAAUAAGGCUGGUUUCUUUAUAAUUUUCUUUUAUUUUACAAUUUUUUUUCCAUUUGGCCUAGCCCAGAUAGGAUCAGGCGCAGGCCUUGGCCAAGGCCUAUUUGGCCAUGUUAGGGUCGAGGCAGUCCUAUGGGGAUCAAUGUGGGACUAGGGCCUAGGCCCAAUCCUUUGCCAGCCCUAUAAAUUUCCCAUAGGGUAUAUCAAAAUGGUGCAACAAACAAAAGUAUUCUUAUCUUUCUAAAAUAUGCAUUGAAGCAGUGAUGUCUACCUCAAAUACUAUCCAUAUUGUACAUAAUAUGACCAUUACUUUUUUUUUAGUACGAGGAAGCCACAAUCACCAUUAACCAUGGGUUGAUAAUCUGAUAGCUUAAAGUAUUUCAUAUAGCUCAAUAAAUCUUAUCGUGGACGUUGGGCCCACUCAAUGAUGUGCUCCCAACCAUCCAAUUUUACCUAUAGUGAUUGCAGCUUCCUUCUAACAAAAACUAAAGGGUGCAGUUGGCAUACGGAUGCAUCCGUAGCUGUAGAGGUAAGGUGCAUGUUCAAAUUUUAUCAUGGUAUAUAAUUUGAUGUAAAAUAUUCUUAGGAUUAUCUCAAGAUAUAUUUUUACAUCUAAUUAUAAAAUUUUAAAUAUAAAAAAUUGUUAAAAUUAAGUAGAUCUAUAAACAUAUAAAAAUCUUGAAAAUGGACGGUGUAUAUAAUAUGUUGUAAAAUGCCCUAUUUCUGAGACUUAAAAUCUUUUUAUUUUUCAUGGUCAUACAUCUCGAUGUUGAGAUGAUCAAUCAAAGGGUUUUUCAAUAUUAAAACUACAUUUUUCGAUGCAUUUUUUAGGUGCAUCCGUAGUUCUUCGUUACAAGGUUGCAUCCUUAUAUAAACUUUUUCCGAAACUAAAUGGUCUUAUUAUAUAGGUUUCAAAAACUAUAACGGGGCCUUUUCAUUUCGAAAGAGGUACCAUAAAUAUUUCUUCAUUUUCAACCAGAUAUGUGCCUACCAUCGCCUAAUUGUUGCAUAAAAUUAAGAAUAAGAAAGGUUACCUAGAGUCAAGACCUUGUCAUGAUCGGAGAAGUAGCAAUUUGAUAUGGUGAUGGAAGUGGAAGCAUGGAUAACGUCGAUGAGGCCAUCGUAUGCGUGAGAAAGAGAGCAGUGAUCGAUCCAAACAUGGGAUGAAGCAAACACGGCUAUUGCAUCACCGUCGGAGCCACCUCUGUGACCCACAUGCGUUGGAGUGCUACGCACGAGCCCUUGGGUGCCAGGUUUACAGUGAUGCAACCUAAAGCCAAGGAUGAUCACAUGGCUAACACCUUGGAUGGUGAUGCAGGGACCAUAUGCAAUGUCGACGCUUGCUCCACGCCCAUCAAUGGUCUUAUUACUGUUCACGAUGAGCUCAUUCUCAAGUGUGAUGACCAUGUCAUGACCAAAUAUUAUCCACAAAGGUUCAGUUUGGAUGACACCGUAGCGCAGCGUGCCGGGCUUGGGGUUGACAGGGUCAUCAGAGGGGUUGGUCACAGUAUAUAUACGGCCAUUGCGGCCUCCAAAUGUGCCACUACCGAAGCCUAUGCUGCAGUCAGCAAGGGCUCGACGGAGGAUAGCCCAAUUAGGGUCAGCACGCUAGCAACUGUCGAUCUCAUUGAGAAGUGAUUGGGGUUUAGUAGGGUUCCCAUAGUAGUAUCCAUUAGAGACAGCAUGCUGUGACACAUUCUGCAGAUGGAGAGAUUGUGAAGGGAGAACGGAAAACAGCAGGCAUCCCAGGAUAAUGAGCAGAGAAGGUCCUGCCAUUGCCAUGGCCAUGGCCUUUUACUUUGAUACUGUGGGGCUUAUAUUGCCAUAGAAAGGCCUCUCAUGGGGUGGGGAAGUUGAUAAAAGUUUUGUCAUGGAAAACUAAGUCAAAUCUUGUUAAUGUGCAAUUAAAGUGUAGGUGGGUGGAUCGCAUGACCCUGGUUGGGACGUGGUUGCACGGCAGGUGUGGUUUCUCCUAAAACUUUUUGUUCUUGUAUUUUUUUUCUCUUUUCCUACCUAGAUUUUGUUCUUAAUACGCCUUCUUUCGUUAUUUCUCUCUCCUCAAAUCUAAAUCUAAAUAAUUCGUUGACCAUCACAUUGUCUCUUCCUUAACCGUUCAUUCUCUAUCUUUCCCUCUCUUAAAUACUCCCUUUCGUUUGUAGGGUUAACAGCCGGCCCCACCCAAGCCCUAGCCCUGCAAUUAUCCCUAUAUGGCACGCCCGCGCCCGACUCGAGAUUAAGCAGCCCUAGCUCUAGGUCGAUCUAACACAUUGAAAGGGAAAGAAAACAAAAAAAGGGAAAAAAAAUGUCAGGGCAAGCCGAGAGCCCAGACAAGGCCCGCGGGCCUCAUUUUGUAAUCUGGGCCAUCACCAUUGCCAGCCCAAUUCCUAUCUUUGCCAUAGUUAUCAAGACAAUUGCACUGACAGCUCUGACCGGUGCCUAGGUCAGUCUGGCCCAGACUCCUCAUUAGUUAUAUUGUUAAUCUAAUCCUAAUCAAGCCGAUUUUUACCGCAUCAAGAUCUAAAUUAUCUCCAAUCAUUUCAGUGGCCUUUUUUUUUCUGUUGUGAUUUUCGAAUCUCCGAUCACGAAGGAUUUAUAUCCUCAUAAGCUUUAUGGUAAAAGCCUAAGUUCGUAGUCCAUAUAACAUUAGAAAGAUUUGUUAUGGAAAAGGUUCCUUAUUCGUUUGUCUCUAGCUAUACAAGACAAAUAACCAUAGAAUUUCUUUGAUAAUAUAAAUGGGUAGUAAUCCAUUACAUACAAUCCGUUGUAGUUUAGUUGGUUAGGAUUCUCGAUUCUCACCCGAGAGACCUGGGUUCAGGUCCGGACAUACGAGAGAUUUUCUUUUGCUAAAAAGCAUACCCAAAAAAACAUGGCAUACCAAAGAAUUUUUUUUGUAAAAAGCAUACCAAAAAUAACAUGGCAUACCAAAGAUUUUUUUGUAAAAAGCAUACCUAAAAACAUGGCAUACCAAAGAUUUCUUUUGUAAAAAGCAAACAAAAAAAAACAUGGCAUACCAAAGAAUUUUUUUUGUAAAAAGCAUGCCAAAAAAAACAUGGCAUACCAAAGGUUUUUUUGUAAGAAGCAUACUAAAAAACAUGGCAUACCAAAGAUUUCUUUUUGUAAAAAGCAUACCAAAACAAACAUGGCAUACCAAAGAUUUUUUGUACAAAAAAAACCAGGCCUACCAAAAGAAAAAAAACCAUAAAAAGCAUCCCAAAAAAACAUGGCAUACCAAAGAUUGGUAAACCAAAAAGGUUGCUUAUUUACCUUAAUUCUCUCUUUGUGAACUUAAAGCAUACCAAAAAAAAACAUGGCAUACCAAAGAUUUUUUUUACAAUAAAACCAGGCAUACCAAAAAAAAAAACCAUAAAAAGCAUACCAAAAAACACAUGGCAAACCAAAGAUUGGUAAACCAAAAAGAUUGCUUAUUUAUCUUAAUUCUCUCUUUGGUACUUUUUUUAACUUUCUCUUACUGUGUCAGGAAUGGACUCAAGGCUAAGUUGUCUUAGUGGUGCUACAAUAUGAUUUCUUAAGUUUCAUUAUUAUCACGAUUAGCGAACCCCAUCUACUGAACUAGAAAAAAAAAAGUACUCUACUGCCUAGAAAUACAAAUUAUAGAGUGUGUGGUUUCUAUAAGAUUGCAACCUUAAAUAAUCCAAUUAAGGGGCACCUUCAAAUUUUAACAUAACAUAUAAUUUUGGUGUAAAAAUCGUUCGGAUUAUAACUCUAUUUACAUAUUUAAUUAUAAAAUUUUAUACUCCAAAAAUGGUUAAAAUCAAUUAAAUCUAUAAAUGUAUGAAAAUCUUGAAAAUAGAUAAAAUAGAUAAUGUAUUGCAAGAUGUAUUAUUUUUGGGAUUCAAAAAAAAAUAAUUGUAUUCAUACAUCUAGAUGUCGAGAUGAUCAAUUAGAGAGUUUUUCAACAUCAAAACAAUUUUUUCCAAUAGAUUUUUGAGGUGCAUCUUUAAUUCUACAUUUUAAGGUUGCAACUUCAUAAACUUUUUUCAAUUAUAAAAUACAAAUUAUGAUAAACACGGUCCUUUAAAAUAUUAUAUUUGCAAUGUUUGACAAAAUAUGGUACUUAGUUAGGUCAUGCAUAACAGGGAGAAGAUGUGCUCUAUAUUUGCAAUGUUUGACAAAAUAUGGUACUUAGUUAGGCCAUGCAUAACAGGGAGAAGAUGUGCUUUAUGCAAUUAUGAUUUGAUUUUUACAUUGAGAUAUGUAGCCAUUUCAAAUUUUUGAGAAUAAAAGUUUGCAGUUUAUAUAAGGUGUCAACCAUAAACUAUUUAUAUAAGGUGUCAACUAUAAACUAAGUAAAGCGCAUCUCUAAAUUGCUAAAUUGUGUUAGAAGAUAGAGUUUUGGUGUUAGAAACCCUUACAAUGGCCGAAAAAAUUAUUUUCACAACAAUGAAAUUUACGACAUUCUCGCAUGGGAAAUCGUGAUGGAUCUUUGCUUGCAUGUUCGAAUUUGAACAAUUGGAUAUAAUAAAGUUUAAAAUGGGACAGAGCUUGUCGUGGGAAGUACAUGAAGGGCUAUCAAAUUCAAACCAAGAUAUGAGCUUAUCAUAUGAUACUAAUCGAUGGGAGAUGAUUGACCGUGGUUAAAGAUUUAUAUAUAUGCUUCAUCAACUCUUAUUCUCAUCAUAAAUAUAUAUUUCCUAACACAUUUAUGGGAACCAAAUCUCUGCCGUUCACCCUUCAUCUUGGGUAGAGUCUAGAAAAUAUACCACUUUUUGUCUCUAAGGGCUUCACGAUAGUCACUCUCGCUCGAUCUCUCUCGCUAACUUUGCCGAUCUGUUCCAUAUAUCCUUAACACGUCAUCAAAAGGAGCUCAUCAACCACAAAAACAUGGGUGAGAUGCCCCCGAAGAUCAAAAGUUGAGGUCGAAAUUUUAGAAGGCAGCAUCACUUUCUCUCUCUAAACCCUAAAAUACAAGUCCAACCCAUAUCAGAUACGAUCAACCAAAUCUAUAUCUAAAGAGACGUCUUUUUCGUUCUUUUUCUCAUAAAAAAUCGUACUAGAAUUUAGAGAGAGACGUGCAGACAUACGAAGAGUUUCUUGCUUCAAAGGUGAGUUCUCUUUGGUUCUUUUUCAUCUUAAUUUUGUUUUUCUUAAUUGAGUUCAUCACCUUCUAAUCAGUCUUGUGGGUUUCUAUUUAUUCACUUUUCAUCAUAAUCGGUCUUGUGGUUCUACUGUUUUCUUGAAAUUGAAAACAAUAAUUAUAAUCUAUUUCUUUGAAGUUCUUGGUUGAAUUCUUGCGGUAAAUCUGAGAGAAUACAUUUGAAUUUCUUGAAUGUACCCCACGGUUCUACUGUUUUCUUUAAAUUGAAAAAGAAUAAUUAUAGUCUAUUUCUUUGAAUUUCUUGGUUGAAUCGUUGUGGUAAAUCUGAAAGAAUACAAUUGAAUUUCUUGAAUGUACCCCACUAUCAUCUUUGUCAAUUCUUUCGUUUGAAACUUCACAUGGUUUUCUUGCUUUUAAUUUUUUGCAUUUUUAUUCAGUUGAAAGCCUUAAAAGUUUUGAUGAAGUCCAUGCUUGGUUCUUUUAGAUUUGUUUUUCACAUCCAUUUGUUUCUACUCCAUGGUCCAUAUUUCUUGAAUUUUUCGUUGAAUUUUCCAUUAGAACCUUGAGAUGUUUUAGUUUAUUCUCUUCUUUUUUUUACCUUGUUUUUUAUUUUUAUUUAUUUUUUGAUAGAAGUGAGACUCACAUAAUUUGAUCAUUUUUUUAAUUUAGAAGCUUUUUUUUUUUUUCUCCAUUGUUUUGUGGUAAAAAUAUGAAUAUGUUGAAACCGAGGAAGUUUGCGACUUUAAUUUGCUUAUUGUACAAAUUUGCUUCUUCAAUUGGGUUGCUUGAAUACGCUCAUGAGAAUCGUUAAGAUAGUAAGAUAUCCAACGGAAAAAGUUUGUUUUAAUUUUGAAAAACCUUCUAAUUGAUAAUCUCGACAUGAGCGAUUAUGAAAAAAAAAACAGAUUUUGAGUCUUAAAAUCGUGCGUCUUGCAACACAUUAUCUAGCCUGUCCAUUUUAAGAUUUUCAUAUGUUUAUAGAUCUACAUGAUUUUAAUCAUUUAUGGAAUUUAAAGUUUUACAAUUAAAUGUGAAAAUAGAUUUUCAGAUAAUCUUAAAAAUUUUUUAAACCAAAAUUACAAGUUAUGAUAAAAUUUGGCGGUGCGCCUUAAUUGGAUUGUUUAAGAAUGCAAGAAACACACCCAUUCUAGAUAAACCAAGGAAUCACGAUUUUAUCCCAAAAAAUACUCCAUAAUUAAUACAUAAAUAUUUUCUUUUUCACGAAAAUAAUACUGAUGUGGCAUCACCUUCUCUCUCCAAAACUCUCUCUCAACUUAUACGAGCUAUCUCUAUCUCUAAACCUCUCUCCUAUUUUUUUCAUUGUUACUCUCCUUUCUUGGUUCUUUCUCUCUCUAAAUUCUUUCUCUCCCCAAAUCUCGUGUUCCUUUCUUGGUUCUUUCUCUCUCUAAAAUCUUUCUCAAUCUAAAUCUUUCGCUCUAUCUGCAUUUUUAAUCUCUCUCUCUAAAUCCUUCUAUUUGCGUUCUUUUCUUGGUUAUUUCUCUCUCUAAAAUCUCUCUCUCUCUAAAUCUUUCUCUCUUUCUGCCUUUGUCUUAGGUCAUCAGUUUGACGAGUGAGGUGAGGAUGCGCAGGGGAAUUGGAGAACGAGGUACGCUUUCUUUCUCUCUCUAAGAUUUUGAAUAACAUUAACCAAGUUGAACUGCUGUCUCUCUAUAAGGAAGAGUUAGUUAUAUGCAAAUUUUGAAAACCACGAAGUUUUUUAUUUCCCUGUUGAAUUCUUUUAUAUCCCUGUUGAGGGCUUGAGUAAGUUAUCUGCAAAUUUUUGAAAACCAUGAAUUUUUUAUUUCCCUGUUGAACAUUUUUAUAUACCUGUUGAAGCCUUCUAUACUGAUAUAAAAAUGCUCUCUUAGGUAAUUUAAGAAUAUAUUCACUGUUAUACAAAAAAAAGCUAUUUAUUACAAAUGCUCUCUGUUGAUGAGAUAUUAAACAGAACGUCAGGAACGAAGAAAAUAUAUCAUUCAAAAUUUUCAGAGUUUCGAAGAAUGUGUUCUAAUAAUAAAAGUUAAAUUUUUGAAAACCAUGUAAGUUUUUUUAUUUCCCUAUUGAAUUUUUAAUAUCCAUGUUGAAACCUUCUGUACUGACUAUUAAAAAUACUCUCUCAGGUGAUUUAAAAAAAUAUUAAGUUGCUUAAAGAAUUUUAAAUAAAAAAUAAAUAAUUUUUAAAUAAUACUCUCUUUUGAUGAGAUAUUAAAUAAAAAGUCAGGAACGAAGAAACUAUAUCAUUCAGAAUUUUUAAAAUUUCCAAGAAAGUGCAUUAAUAAUAAAAUUUGCAAAGAUAUUUCACCCCUACAUAAGAUAUGGUGUUGAGUAAUCUCUCAAUUUCAUUAACAAAUAAAUAUUGCAGUAUUCUACUUGAUCGAAAAUGAAAUAAAAUAAAAAGGAGACUUAUAAUUGUUCAUGAUUUUUUUUUUUUUUUUUUUAAUAUUCUUCAUGAAAUGUAUGUUGCUUUGAGGACUUAUAAUUGUUGUCCAUUCUUGCAGCUAUGACUAUGUCAUUUCGCAACCUACAUGAACUUGAUGUUUCCAAGAUAAAUAUAGGAUUCUACUUCACCUCUCUUUCUCUCCAAAAUGUCCUUCAACCCUUCAAGAUGAGAGUGGUCAUCACUGAUACCCUGGAACAUGAGAACUCAGAUUCAGAGUACGAAAGGCGGACUGAAGUUGAUAUCAUCUCUACCGUACAGACAUUCUCGACCCUGGACCAUGUGAUUUCCCAUGUUUUCGAAAAACUAGAGUCAUGUGGCCUACCCCCACGUAACAUCACCGCCGUAGUAGCGGCUCAUAGUUUUGGGGCUGCUAAAGCUCUUCGUGCUAUGGGUGGUGGUGUCUACCCAAAGUGCAUGUGCUCGGGUGAUAUUGGUGUUUGAAGUAAACCUCGAACCCGAAGAAGCGAAAAUUGAGAGGCUUGCUGACUCAAUUUGUAAAGAUUUUGAGGAAAUGAACAAAGCCUCGAUUGACGAUGUAGAGAUUUACGACGCAGAGUACAAUGAUGAGGUUACAGAUAUUCAUGAGACAGGUGAGAAUGGUGGGGUUGUGGAUGAUGAGGAUACAGAGAUUCAUGAGGCCAGUGAGAAUAGUGGGGAUAUGCAGAUUGAAGAGGAUGAGGAGGAUGUAGUCAUUCACGAGGCAGCGGGGAUGUUGAGGAUUUCGAGAUUUCAAACAAUAAUGAGGGUGCGCUGAAUUGGGAUGAAGAUGAAGAUUACGAUGUUUGGGAGGCAGAUGAUAUCCCUGAAGAUGAUGACGAGGUUACAGUGAUUCACGGGGUAGGUGGGGAUGUUGAGGAUUUCGAUAUUUCAAAUGAUCAUGGAAGUGUGCCGAUGUGGGAGGGAGAUGAGUAUUAGGACGUUAGGGAGGCAGAUGUUAUCCUGGAGAGGAUUACUACAUUUGAGAGGCGGAUGAUAUCCCUACAACACCCACUGAUGAUAUCCCUACAACACCAGCUGUGAGAUACGAAGUUAACUCGUUGACGCAGGUGAAGAUAGUAGAUGAAGAGGGCUACUGCGACACUAUAUGUAUGUCAGAGCUUAGUGCAGAUGAUGAUGACUUAAGGGCGAUGCCCUGUGGCCAUUUCUACUACGAAGAUUGUAUAUUCAAAUAGCUUGAGGGAAGAGAUUCAUGCCUAUGGUGCCGGCAUAGAGUAUAGAAUUAAAUUGCUUUUUUUUUUUUUUCUUCUCACAUAAAUCAUCCAUUACUUAUAUGGGGAUAAAUGUAUACAACUCUAUUUAUGUCCCUUUAUAGCGACCUCAGUUUUUGUAUUAGAAUGUACAUCUAAAUAUCAAUACAUAAUGUCAAUAUUCUCUAUAAAAAAUAUAACGAAAUUGAGUUCUUCUUGUGCUUGCAUAUUUUUUAAGGUAUUUUAUAAAAUUCUUUGUGUUUCAAAGUCAUUAGUUUUCGAGGUUGUGGGUUUUGGACAAUCAACAGUUAAUCAGUUUCGGUUCAAACUUCAUUCUAAAUGAUGCUUUGGUCUAUAUGAUCAUAAAUUAAUGACAAGGCCUAUUUAGUCAAAAUCUAAAACCAAAAGCUCACAUUAACAACACAAAAAGGCAUGGUAUCACUAUAGCAAGUUUAACACUUAGAAAAAUUGGUUGAUACCAAAAAACUUUUUGAACUUUUAGCAUCUUAAGUAACAUUUAGAAUUCCACUCAAAAAAUAAAAUUCCAUUUUGGGGCCAAAAGGUCUAGGCGACACUAGCAGUGUCACCUAAGUCUGAGUGACACUUCUCGUGUCGCCUAGUCUGGGCUGGACGACACUGCUAGUGUCGCCCAAACCAAAAGUAGUCCAAAUUGUUUUUUUUUUUCUUUUCAGGUGUCUUCCUCAGCCUCUUGUGAAGCUCUCAAAUAAAAUUUUGGUCAAAACAAAUUUUUUUUACUAUUUCUAAUGAUUGUUUUAGUAAAACAGGGCAUCUGUAGGAUUCUGGGUCAAAACAGGGUUUCUGCAGGAUUCCUGGUAGGCAGAUUGGUUCUGGGUCACAGGGUAGGCUAUGUGAACUAUGGAUUUGGGUUUACUAGGAUAAGUGUGGUCCUAAGGGUUCAGGAAACUACAGAAUUUUUCAGAUUUAAAAUGGGGUGUCUACAAGUUUCCAUAGUUUCAAGCUUGUGUUAAUGCAUGUUUCCUUACCCAAUUAAAAUGUGAAAGUCGAAUGUGGGUGCAUGCUACUAAAUUUCUGUUAGAGUGUAUUCUGAUUUCCAGAAGUGUGGUCCAUGUUUGAGAGAUUGUUAGGGUACCUUAGACCCCACCUUAGACCUUGAAUUUUGGUGGGUCAAAGUAUAUUGAAUGUAUUUCUACAUGGAAAAUACCCCUUAUUAAUAUCUAAUUUAUUUUGAGGGUUAUUAACUAUUUACUGAAGUAUGUUAGAUCUGUGAAAUGAAAUUCCAAGGAUUUAACAUGUUUUCGUGUGAAGCUUUUAACUUACGAAAAUGUAUUGUAACGAGAUAAAACCACUUCAAAAUGUUACAUAGAUGAGUCUAGCUUAAAAUUGGUUUUGGACUCAUAAUAAAAUUCUUUAUGGUUUGAUAGUUAUGGUCACCUUGAAUUUUUUGCUACGCAAAACAUAAAUUUCAUCUGAGAACAUCAAAUAGUUUGACAAAUGUUAGAUCAAUAUUUGGAAUUACUUCCUAUAUGGAAGUUGUACUUUUAUGAGUCUAGAUUGUCAUAAAAUUGGUUAUAGGAUUAAAUGAUCUUUAUAUUUAAUGAUAUACCCUUAAAGUUGGAUAAUGUUUAUCUUGGAAAACUAGAAAUAUGACAGAGUGAUGUCUAUCGCAUUGACAUAUGGCAUGAUAUUGACAUAAAAAUGUAUCUAGAAUUGAUAAGCAUGAUAAUAUGACAUAAUGAUGUUUAUUACAUUGAAAUACAGCAUGCUAUCGACAUGAUAAUGUCUUUUGAGCAGAUAAGCAUGAUAAUAUGACAUAGUGAUGGUUCUUAUUAUUAUAUGUAUAGCAUGCUCUAAACAUGUUGAUAUUUUUGUGAUUAUAUGUAUGAUGUGCUUCUGAUAAGAUAUGUGUGCAUGGAAACAUGCUUUUGAUAAGAUAUAUGUGUAUAGAAACAUGCUUCUGAUAAGAUUGCUGUGCAUGGCAACAUGUUUCUGAUAAGAUACGUGUGCAUGGUAACAUGCUUCCGAUAUGACAUGCGUGCAUGGUAACCUGCUUCUGAUAUGAUAUGUGUGUAUGGUAACAUGCUUCUUAUAUGAUAUGUGUGCAUGAAAACAUGCUUCUAAUAAGAUAUGUGUGCAAGACAACAUGCUUCUGAGAAGAUAUGUGUGCAUGGUAACAUGCUUCUGAUAUGAUCUGUGUGCAUGAUAACAUGCUUCUGAUAAGAUAUGUGUGCAUGGAAACAUACUUUUGAUAAGAUAUGUGUGCAUGGUAACAUGCUUCUGAUAAGAUAUGUGCGCAUGGUAACAUUCUUCUGAUAAGAUAUGGGCGCAUGGAGACAUGCCCCUGUUAUGAUAUGAUGAGAUAUUUGUGCCAGCAGCUGUGAUGUUUUCCUUAACUCUCUAUGAUAGGAUGAGAGUUAGGAGUGUCCGUGUUUGGGUGGUUUCUCCCCCCAAAAUUUUGUGAGGCACUACUCAUUGGGACCCAUUUGGUAGUGUAACGCUCUCUCGCCAGAAUGGCACAUGAGAGGGCCGUGUCUUACAAAGCCAGUGCCUAUCAAAAGCCCCAAAGUGCGCUAGGGACCGUGUGUAUAUGUUAGGCACUACGUAAUGGAUUUACCCAUUGGUCGUGCUUCCCUCCUAGUUGUGAUUGUAGAAGCUCUAGGCACCAGGAUUUGGUUGGCCUGAUGGGUGGGCCUUCUACUUCAAGAGUUAGUUAAUAUUUCUUGAUCUUGAUUUUGCUUGUUACAUACAUAUUUGAAUUGAUUUGAUUUAGUUCUUGUUACAAUCAUAUCUGAUUAAUAUGAUUUGUUAUUACUCCACCAUGAAACAAAUCAUGAACGACACGUUUGUUUAAAUGUGAAUUUGACACAUGACUCUAUGUUUCAUAGGAUUUAUAUGAAACGCUGAUUAUUGUCAUGAUAUAAUAUUUGUAAGCAUGAUAGCAUGACACCUAGAUCUAUUCACUGGGAUUUAUAGCUCACUCUUUUAAGUUUUUCCUCCAUGUAGAGCGAUAGCCAGUGUGUUUGGAGUGGCAUGUCCUGGUGGUCGUGCAUGAGGGUCCCUCACUCCCCUUUUGUUGAAGCUCCCUUUUAGAAUAUGCGUUUUCGUUGGCAGCCUGGCUAUAUAGUCCUUUCUAACUUGGUAUAUGUCUUGAUGUUGGGUCUUUUGUGCCUUGAACCUAUAUGUACUAUUUUAAACUGUUAUAUGUAUUUUGGGACUUCUUUGUCCAACAGACUAUGGUUACGUGUGUUGUGUUUAUCUUUUCAUUUCUUUUGUGGUUAACUUUGAAACAAAAAAUUCUGUCUUUACAAAGUGUUGAGAGCACUCCAACCCUGGCACUCACUACCUGUGAUUGUGACCCCAUUCCCUAUUGUCCUCCGGCAGACCUGGGCUUAGCCCUUUGCGGGUCGGGCAGGGAUGGUAGGGAGUGGGGUCAUGACAAGUAAACCCAUAGCUUCGUGGCUAUGUAUACCUGAAGCUUUCACUUUUAUUCAUGAUGAUCCUCAUUGGAUGCUCAUCAUGCCCCAUUUUUCUCUUUUUUAAGAGAAAACCUCCUCCCUGAUGAUGAAUACAAUAGAGGGGUUAUAACUGUACAAAGCUCACUGAGGCAAUAUAUACCAAGAGUGAGGCUUUUAUUAGGAAGGUGAACACCACUAGAGAGGUUCUAUGUUUCUAAAAGGUGAUGAAUGAUUCACACUUGUUGGGUAUAGGGGUUUUAGGUGGCCCAAUAGAUAAGUGAUGCAUGAAAACCCCCUAGGGAUAAAAAUGUGUUUCCAAGGUAAAGAAAUGGUUACCUCCCUGAGGAUUGAAAGGCUCCCUCGAGUGAUGAAAGUAUAACCUAUUCUAAAGAUUGGUUAUAAUGUACUCACACCACUGGGGGGUAUUGACUCACUGAGGAUAAUGACCUAUCACUGACCAAUGGAGUGAUAGACCAUUGGGGGUAAUUGACCACUAGGGUGAUGGUCUAAUGAAAGAAGCGAUCCAUUGGGGGUGAUGCUCCAUUGGGGAUGAUGACCCUUUGGAAGCAGUGAUCCACUCGGGAUAAUGAAUCAUUAGGGCUCCCUAUCACUCUUCGAGCAUGGUAUUACUCAUGGGGUCUCAUGAAGGCUCAAUGAGUAGGGUAUAGUUGGUGUGGCUCCAUGGGGAUAAUCGAGUUAUGAAGUGAAAUCCAAGUAAAGGGAUUGCUAUGAUAGUUUCUGAUAAGGUUUAAGCUGGUGAAUGGGAUUUCAAUGAAAGGGGUAAUUUCUGACUCAUGGUGAUGAUAGAUCAAACCGAACGGGUAAUUGGGACUCCCAUGGUUUUCAUGAGUCAUUAAGGUCUUUUAGUGGAAGUCAUGAUUUCUUGUGAACCUUGCAUCAACCAAAUGAUAGGUUUUUUCCUACAAUUUUGAUGUUUUUAGGCAUAGGUGUAUCUCCAGUCAUGUUUGAUAAUGCUAGAGGCAAGAAUAGCCUUAUAUAACAAUGGUCAAUAUAUUUCCAUUGGGAAUCAAGCACAUUAAGGAUGUGUCUUCGUUGGGGCAUUAAGUUCACUAAGAAUAAAAAUAUCUUUAGAGUCCAUCAAAAGUAAGUAGACUAAACCCAAGGUUAUAUUGGGUUAAUAGGUUCAUGGUUUGAAGAUGGGUUUGAAAAGGGGGCUAUUGAGUUUAGUGUUUUGGGCUGCACAUAGCUCAGGGUUAUCCACUAGGGGGUUAGUGUGUGUAGGCGGAACAAGAAGCGUGGCUCUUUUGCUCACCCUAUGUCAAAUGUGCAUAAGUGUGUGUUGGGCUCAUGGUUAAACCAUGGGCUUGUGAGAAUUAGUCGAUAAAUGAGAGAGAAGUGAAGUGAAAGAAAAAAGAGAGUAAAGGCGAGUGGAACUGACGGGUGCGGGUUUUUUUUUUGGAUGCAAGAGAGAGAAGAGAGUGACAGACAAUGUGAGGAAUGUGAUGGACCUGCCUUUGGCACGAGUCCAUGCAUCAUUGACGUGACAGAAGAAGAUGGAGGUAAAGAGGGACGGACACGCCCUAAGUGCAGAUCCAUAUGUUUAGGUGGACAAGAUAGGGAAGGGGUCAAAGGCGAAAGAUGACGGACCUGCCCUAGGCGUGGGUCUUUGUGUUAAGGUGGAAAAACGAGAGAAGAGGUUACAGAUGAAAGAUGACGGACCAGCCCUAGGCACGGGUCCGUAUAUUUAGUUUAACAAGAGAGAGAAGUGGUUAAAGAUGAAAAAUGACGGACCUGCCUUAAGCGGUAUAUUUAGUUUGGCAAGAUGGAGAAGAGGCCAAAAACGAAAGAUGAAGGACCCUCCCUAGGCAUGGGUCCGUAUAUUUAGUUUGACAAGAGAAAGAAGAGGUUAAAUACGAAAGACGACAGACCUGCCCUAGUGGGUCCAUAUAUUUAGUUUGACAGGAGAGAGAAGAGAUUAAAGAUGAAAGAUAACAGACCCUCCUAGGCACGGGUCCAUACAUUUAGAUGGCUGAAAGAGAGAAGCGAAUGAGGACGGGGGGUGACAGACCCUCCCUUGGCGCGAGUCAGUGUGUUUUCUGGUGGACGAGAGAGAGAAGUGGAAGAAUGAGAGAGGAAGAGAGACGGGUCUACCCUAGGCACGGACCCGUGUGCCUUUGACAGGCAUUCAUCCAAGGCUAAUAAGGGGUGCACUUCCACCCAUUUUCCAUUGCCUCUUUUGUUCUUCUUAGAGAGAUAUAGUGAAAGUGAUCCUUCCUUGGAGUGAAACAAGUAAAUUUUUGAAGACUUCUUGGAGAUUAUGGUUAGCUCCUCUAAUCCUCAAGGUAACCUCCUCUUGUCUUUUUCUUCUCUCUUUAUGCCUUUCAUGAUUAUUUUUCUCUUCCACUUCUUCUUACCUCUCCUUUUGCACACCACAUGUUUGAUCGAAUGCUUGAAUUCCUCUUUCUAGUGUAACAUUAACAACUUGAUUAUCUUUUGAGCAUUCCUUGAUCAUGUCUAGUGCAACUUGCAUCUUUUUUCAUCAUUUCAAGUUUUCUUAGUGCAUCUUGUAUCAACCUUGAGCAUCACAAAUAUGUCUUAAGCAUCCCGAACCCCUCGGUCAUGCUUAUCAUCAGUCAACACCAUGAUCAUUCCGAGAGCUCCUCGACCAGUUCAUGAGCAUAUUCGAGCUAUGAGAAUAAACAACAUGUUUAGGCAUUAUGAACACAUUGAGAUCAUUACAAAGCAUUGCCUUGCAUCAUAUGGAUAAUGGCUGAUCGUCAGCCUUUUGAGCUUCAUGAACUUGACAAAAUAUAUUCAUCAUGAAUAUCUUUUUGUGCAUGUGUGAGUUUUACGAACUUCCCUGAGCAUUAUUCACGCGUGCAAGCGUUAUGAACUCACUUAGGCUUCCCAAAAAUUGCUUUCCAAUUUUGUAAUGAACUGCUGGUCAUCACUAGGUACCCUAUUGAAUGUCAUGAUCUUUAGAGCCAUUGCUUAGACUAACAUGAGCGUACUUUUGAGCUGCACAGAUGUCGCACUUCAAACACACCUAGAGGCCAAAACAUAUUUUCUGAGCACCAUAUGAUUGCACUCUUGAUCGUCAUGGAUUUGUUCUUGAUCAUAGUCAAUGUCUCUGAGCAUAUUGACUUCACUUUCACUGAGCACUCUAAAGAAACAUUUUUCUUUAGUACUCCAAUAUUUCUUGAAUGUUCUCAAAUAUUUCUUGAACAUUUCCAAAGAUUUUUUUGUGCAUCCCAAAUAUAUUCUUGAAAAUAUUCCCCAAAUGUGCUCUUUCAAGCACUUUGAAUGUCACGAAUAUUAUCGUGAAGACCAUCCUAAAGAGAAUUGUAAUGUAAUUUUCUUUCACAUUCUCAUAUGCUUUUAUGCACACCUUAGCAUCAAAAGCAUCUUUGUAGCAUUUUCAUGCACCCCUUGUAUUUCAAGUGCAUUUUUGCAUCAAAACCUGACGUUUUCAGCGCCUCCACUGCAUAGCUAUAUAUUUCAAAAUUUCAUUGAGAGCUUAUGAGCACUAUUUAUGCAUUUUUUGAUGUAGUUGAUCAUAGUUAAACAUAGUUAUGCACCGUAAUGCAUCUUUUGAGCACUUCCAUUCAUAGUUAUGUAGUUAUGGCCAUUCUUAUGCAUUUCUAAGAAUUUUCAUGCAUUUUUUACCAUUCUUGGGUACUCUUAUGAUAGAAACAAGCACUCUUCAAGGUUACUUUUUUGGACUAACCAAACCCCUUCCUUGUCAACCCACUACAUAUAGGGCAAAUGUUGUCGAAGUUAUGCAAAAUUCAGGAUUCUUUUCUCUUCCUAUGAAUUGUCAUUUUGCUCAACUGCUCACUUCUUUCUUUUGUGCUUCUUCUGCAGUGAGUAUUCUUGAAGUGAACCAAUUACCGCGCCUUGGAGAAUUGGGCACUAAUGCAUACACAGGUGCUUCUUUUACAAGGUCUACAACUCUUGGUGUUCUUGAGACUACUCAAAAGCUGGGGUGGUCCUUAAGUAUCACCUACAUAUGUGAAGAUGCUCAGUUUUCCGUUAUGACGAUGCAAAUGGCGAGCCCGUGAUUCAGGGAUAUGGUGUACCAAUGUACCGUGCUCUUCACAGGAAUUUUGAUUCAAGUGAUGAUCUCCCUACACAAAGAGAAUGUUGAAGAAGAAGGGUCUUCAUUGGGAAUCUAGUAGGCUCUGCAUUGAGGGGGAGGACCAAUACAUCCGGGUAUAUAGCACAUGGAUGUUUGAUGUCCUCCAGUCACAUGCCAAGGACUUAGAAGCAUGCCACUUAACUGCAGCAUGUCAGUGUUCAGUUGGUUACUAUAAUAGGUGCUCAAACACCAUCAGAGCUUUAUUGGAAACCUGGUCCUACAAGAUUAACAACUGACACCUUGACCACCGCGAAGGAGGAAUCACCCUCCUUAAUAUGUACUUCAAUAGUGGACUGCCCAUGUUGGUGACCAUGAAGUAAUUUUUUGGAAUUAUCCCAUCAAUGGUGAAAACCCUCCUCCAGGUCUUCGUGAAUUGUUUGAAAUUUAUCAACUUCUUCAUUCAGAGACCAAGACCAAAUCCAAGAUAGUGCAUUUUAAUGCAUGGAGAGACUUCUUUCAUGGGAACCGUCAGGGCAAAGGAGAACCCAAUUUCAGUGCCAUCUGAGUUGAUGACUAACAAGGGUUAGAAGAAGAAGAAGAGACCAAGGGCCCAGUGAUCCCUCCCAAGAGAUCUGAAAAAGAUCAUGUAUACUUGGCUGCAUUCCUCACUCUUUUCUUGUGCAAAUUUCCCCUCCCAGGGUCAAGAAGUAAUGUUAUCUGUCUUGGUUGCUUCUUUGUAUCUUGCAGGCUUAUUCAAGGGCAUCAAUAUGACCUAGCUCAACCAGUCCUCUAUAGCAUAUACCACGGCUUAGAAGCAAUCACACAUGGAUAAGAUUAUUCAAAAGAUAGCAACAGUGAGUAUUUUAAGGGAGAAGUCUUUCCUGAUAGUUCACAAUAGGCUUCGUUGUCCAUUAUAUUUUUGGCUGGCUUCCAGCAUACUUCCCCAAGAAGGAGUCUGAUCCCUAUAACCCUGGAGCAUACGAGAUCAAUGAAGAACUUUCGGGGUAUACUUGCCCUCAAAUGCUAAGGAUUGCUGGAAUGAAGGCCAUAAUUAGAGGAGAAAGUGAGGCAUGUCGAUUCUCAGUGGACAACUCUUUCUUUUCUCGUGGGAGUCCAUUUUCUAUAGGUGGCCCUACUGGCUGGGUUUGCACUGAUGCUUUUGGUGAUCUUUUUUAUGGAUACACCACUGAGACCAAAGAGGCCAUAUACCUCCUAAGUGUUAGGGGAUGCAUCUUUCCUUACAGGGGUGUUGGAGACGAGAAGCUAUUUUCCCCACAGGUUUGCACACCAGCAUGGCUUAGACAAAGGGUGUUCCUUCUUAGUGCUUUUUUAGAAGAAAUAUGAGAAGAAAGAUGUAGUCAAUGGAAUAUCAAUGGAAUAUCACCAACCAUUCUUACUGGCAGGACACCCGUUCAUGGAAGGCCAUCAAUUGCACCAAACAUGAUACGAGGCAUGGCAAGCAUUUUGUGUGUCCAAUCUUCUUUAAGGUUUAUGAACUUGAUUACCCCUUGAAUUGGAAAGGACUUGGAAUACCUUGAUCUCUAGCCAUACACCAUAUCAGCAUCCAAUAUCUUUCCCUUUCCCUUGAAGGUGAAACUAGGUCUUCAUUUGCUAACCUUUAUUCGAUCUUAUUCAAGACAUAAAUGCUUUAAUAGGGAGUGGGUCUCAUUCUACUCCAGCUGCUAGAUCUCGCCAUGGUCAAAAAACCAAGAGUGCCUCUUCAAAAGAUGAAGUAACUCUAAAGGACAAGGUCACAAAGAAAGGGACAAAGAAGAAGAAGGACGCAGAUGGUUAGAUGCCUCAAUCUCUCCCCUGGGUCGGGAUGGCCUGGUGGCACCUGUCUUUGGUUACAAAGAGAACUCGAGACUUGAGACCGCUUUCUCGAGAACCUUGUUAAGAAAGAAAGGCAGGUACACCAACCUGUGAGAGAGGAAUUUGAUGUGAGACGAGACACACCUCACCUGGGUCCGUGACUCACUCGGGCAAACUCGUGCUGACGCCCUCUUAGAUCACAGCGAAAGGACUUCUAGUCCUACAACUAGUUCGAAAUCGCUUCCCUUGACCUGUACUCUCCUGUUUCUACGAUCUACACACAUGGUUAUUUUAUAUGACAAGUGGGCCAAAGGACCCCACCUUGUGUUUGGGUGAAUGCACACAUGUGUGCACAUUUAAAGAAGAAUGGAAUGAAGAAUGAGAUGAAGAUUGGGGUGAUAAAAAGAAAAUGAAGAAGUAGAAUAGAGGAAAGAAAAGAGAAGAAAGAAAAAUUUGACCAAGUGGUUAGACUGACACAGUGGCUAGACUAGUAUAGUGACUAAUUUUGUGUGGUAGCAAGACGGGCACAGUGGCUUAACUACUUGACCACAAAACCAACCCCAACCAGCUUGGCACGAUAGCUAGUCUGACAUGGCAGCAAGAUGGGCACGGUAAUUCAGACUGACACUGCGGCUAAACUGCUCGAUGACAAGGCUACCAUGGUAGUGCUAGACUUAGCCUGUCUCUCGAUCAAAGGAGAGAGGAAGAAGAAAGAAAAGAGAGAGGCAUGAAAGAGAGGGAAAAAUGAAAAUAGACGAAGGUGUGAGAGAAUAAUAGUGAGAGAGAAGAAGAAAGAGAAGCAGAGAGAGAAAGUGAGAAAGGAGAAGAGAGAUAGAAGAAGAAAGAAGGAGAAGAUAAAAGAAAAGAGAGAGAAGAGAGAUAAGAGAGAAGAAAGAAAAGAAAGAAGAGGAAAAGUGGAGAGAUAAGAGAGAAGAAGAAGGGAGAGAAAAGAAGAAGGAUUAAGAGAGAAGACAGAAGAGAGAAGAGAAGAAAUGAAGAGAAGAAAGAAGAGAAGAUAAGGGAAGAAAAAAGAGAACAGGAAGAAGAGAAGAAGAUAAGAGAAGAGGAAUGGAGAAGAAGAAAAAGAAGAGAAGAGAAGAUGUGAGAGAAGAAGAAGAAGAAGAAGAUAAGAAGAGAAGACAGAAGUGAUAGAAGAGAGAAGAAGGAAGAGAGAGAAGAGAGGAAAGAAGAGAAAAAAAAGAAGAAAAAAAAGAGAAGAAAGAAGAAAGAAGAAAGAGAAGAGAGGAAAGAAGAGAGAAGAAAGAAAAGAGAAGAGAGAAGAAAGAAGAGAGAGGCGAGAGGAAAGAAGAGAAAAUAAAGAAGAGAGAAGAAGAGAAGAAGAAGAGGAGAAGAAGAGGACAAGAGAAGAGAGAAGAAGAAAAAGAGAAAAAGAGAGGAGAAGAGAAGAGGAGAGAGAAGAAAAAAGGAGAGAGAGAAGUGAAAAGGAGAAUAUAGGAUAGAAGAAGAAGAGAAGAGAGAGUAGAAGAGAAGGGAAGAGAAAAGGAAGAGAGAGAGAGGGAAAAAAAAAGGAGAAGAGAAGAGAGAGGAAGAAGAAGAGAAGAGAGAAGAGAAUAGAAGGGAAGAGAAGAAUAGAGGGCAAAGAAGAGGAGAGAGAGAGGAGAAAAGGAGAAGAGAAGAAAGAAGAAGAAGAAGAGAAGAGAGAAGAUAAGGGAAGAGAAGAAGAGAAAAAGUGGAAAGAUUGGAGAGAGGAGGGAACAGGAAGUAUGAGAGAGAAAGAGAAGAGUAGGGGGAGACGAAAGAGAGAUGAGGAAGAACAGAAAAGAUGAGAAGAGAGAGAAAAGGGAGAAGAAAGAGAGGAAAAUCAGGGGAGAGAUGAGGGAUAUGUCAUGGAUGGCGGUGGUCAUUGCCGUUCAUGACAUAAGGGAGAGGAAGUAGGUAUCAUGGACGACAAUGGGCUCUGCCAUCCAUGACGGAGAGGAGAGAAAGAAGAAAGGAGCAUGAACGGCGAUGAGCUUCACUAUCAAUGAUAGAGGAGAGAGAAAGGUGGAAACAAAAAAGAAACGUGGAUGGCGAUGGGCUUCGCUGUCCAUGAGAGAAGGGAGGACGAGAGAAGGGAAGAAGAAACAUGGACGGCAUUGGGUUGCAUCGUCCAUGACAAGAGAGAGUGUAAGAGAGAAUAUAGACGGUGAUGGAUUCUAUCAUCCAUGACAGGAGAGAGAAAGGGAGAACAUGGAUUGUGAUGGGUUCCACAGUCCAUGAUAAGAGGAAGAGAGACAAGAGAGAGAAAAGAAAAGGCACGCAUGACAAUAGACAUCGUCGUGCAUGUCAAAAGAGUCUCAGACACAACCUGACCUGCCACUUGGGAAAGGUCUCGAUUCAAUAUCCUUAUCAGAGAAUAGGGGAAUAAAUGUCGUGCGUAGCGGUGAGCUUCGUUGUGCACAACAUGGGGAAAGUGGAAUAUAGACAGAGACCUGACUAGUCACUCGAGUUAAGACUUGGCUCACUGUGCAUAUUCCAAAAGAAGGAGGAUGUCAUGCUCGGCAAUGGGCACCACCGUGCAUGAUUAGGGAGGAGAGAAAAAGGAAAGAAUAGAGAGAGAAAAGGAAAGAUAGAGAGAGAAAAGGAGAGAUAGAGGAGAGAGAGAAGGAGAGGGAAGAAAGAAAAGUGCAGAAAGAGAUCAAGAAAGAGAGUAGAGCAAGAAGAGGGGAAAGUAGAGAAGGAAGGAAAGGGGAGACAUAAGAUUAGGAAAGAUGGGGAAUGAAAGAGGAAAGAGAGCAGAGAGCAAAGAGGAAAGAAGGGAAAGAGAGACAUGCACGGUAGUGCCUACGACCAUGUAUGUCGCAAGAGAAGAAAGAGGCAAACAAGAGGGAGAGAGACAAUAACAAAGGAAGAGAAAAGGAGACAUGCACGACGAUGCUUAUUGUCAUGUAUGUUUGAGGUAAAGAAGAGAGAGACGGAGAGAAGAAUAAGAAGAGAUAGAGAUAGAGAAGAGGAGAGAGAAAGAAAUAAGAAGAGAGAAAGAAGAAGAGAGAAGAGAGGAGAGAGACAUGCAUGAUGAUACUUACUGUUGUUUAUGUUUGAGAUAGAAAAGAGAGAGAUAAAGAGAAGAGGAGAGAAAGAGGGAGGAGAGAAGAAAGAGGAGAGAGAAUAGAGGAGAUAUAAAAUUACCUUCACCUAGGGAUACCAGAUCUUUUACUCUCUCUUCUCUCUUUCUCUCCAAG
This 29310-nucleotide long non-coding RNA is filed under the name Amborella trichopoda. RNAcentral describes it as "long non-coding RNA (ATRI_LNC003427)". The record is from RNAcentral. Lineage: Eukaryota; Viridiplantae; Streptophyta; Magnoliopsida; Amborellales; Amborellaceae.